Long non-coding RNA from Carassius gibelio (silver crucian carp), 626 nucleotides. RefSeq lists it as uncharacterized. The record is from RefSeq and is a predicted model, not a curated record. The transcript is spliced from 3 exons. Lineage: Eukaryota; Metazoa; Chordata; Actinopteri; Cypriniformes; Cyprinidae.
GUGGCAAUGCAUUCAGAAUCCACUAUUAGUGAAAACUAAUCUUUGAAAAACAUUAACAAAGAAUGAAGCAUAUUUGAAGAUCCUGUUAAAUUUGUGUGAUUGAGAUGUUAACUGAUGGACUGAUGUGGAUUAUCGUGAUGUUUUUAUCAACUGUUUGAACUCUCAUUCUGACGGCACCCAUUUACUGGAGAGCAUCCAUUAGUGAGCAAUGCUAUACAUUUCUCCAAAUCUGAUGAAGAGAAAAACUCAUCUACAUCUUGGAUGUGGCCCAUUAUAGUCCUCUUCUUCCAUCAUCAUCAUCAUCGUCAUCAUCUCUCCUCCUCUCUGUCUGCAGUGUAAUGGUGCUGGUUUAUGAAGAGCGAUCAGUGUGUUUAUGUGUCACGUGUUUGAUUGCAGAAAGAUGAUUCUUCUUCAGUUAUAAGACGAGAUCUUCAACUCCCCAGUUUCUCAUCACAGAUUCACAGUGGGCUGCAGUGAUUGACAUCUACAUACUGUGAUAUUAAUUUUGGAUAUUUGGAUAAUGUUUUGAAGUCUCUUUAUGAACCCUGCAGAGAAGCAAAUUGUUUAUUAAUCUGAUUGUUGAUGCAGUCUUUUAAUCUACUGCAGUGAAAGUUUUAUCUUAUUAU